Long non-coding RNA from Amphimedon queenslandica, 211 nucleotides. RefSeq lists it as uncharacterized. Lineage: Eukaryota; Metazoa; Porifera; Demospongiae; Haplosclerida; Niphatidae. The record is from RefSeq and is a predicted model, not a curated record. The transcript has 3 exons.
UGAACAGUGGAGUGAUCAACUUGAGCCUCCAACAAAGGAAUCACUGGCAGAAGCAUGGAAAUGGAUAUUGCAUAUUAAUCCAAAAGGAAUGUGCAGCCUCCUUGAGUCAUUACAUCUUGUACUAGAGAGCCCAGCAUAUGAUGACGAUAUAAUGACAAGAGAUCCAAUAGGUCUUUAUUUAAUAAUUAGUAGCAUGCCCAAUCAAACUGAA